RNAcentral lists this ribosomal RNA (323 nucleotides) under Candidatus Williamhamiltonella defendens. Its description in RNAcentral is "bacterial SSU rRNA". It matches the Rfam family "Bacterial small subunit ribosomal RNA", at positions 76 to 395 of the family's 1533-position model. Lineage: Bacteria; Pseudomonadati; Pseudomonadota; Gammaproteobacteria; Enterobacterales; Enterobacteriaceae. The record is from RNAcentral.
UAGUUUACUGAAGUUCAUGUCGGCGAGCGGCGGACGGGUGAGUAAAGUCUGGGAAUCUGGCCGAAGGAGGGGGAUAACUGCUGGAAACGGCAGCUAAUACCGCAUGAAGUCGCGAGACCAAAGUGGGGGACCUUCGGGCCUCACGCCUUCGGAUGAGCCCAGAUGAGAUUAGCUGGUAGGUAAGGUAAAGGCUUACCUAGGCGACGAUCUCUAGCGGGUCUGAGAGGAUAGCCCGCCACACUGGAACUGAGACACGGUCCAGACUCCUACGGGAGGCAGCAGUGGGGAAUAUUGCACAAUGGGCGAAAGCCUGAUGCAGCCAU